This is a long non-coding RNA of Macrobrachium nipponense, 387 nucleotides long. RefSeq lists it as uncharacterized. NCBI's taxonomy places the organism in Eukaryota, Metazoa, Arthropoda, Malacostraca, Decapoda, Palaemonidae. The transcript has 3 exons. The record is from RefSeq and is a predicted model, not a curated record.
GAGUGUAGCAACACUGUUGCUGAUAAACAUUUGUCAGAAUUUCUCAGAAAGCGGGUGCGAGCCGCCAAGUUUGAAUUGUUUUACUGCUGGUUUACUCAGCGAUUUCUACUCAGCAUUGUUCCAUCGGUAUACUACGUGCAAAAGAAGCCUCCAUUUGUGUUAUGGUUGCUUUGUCUAUUGAAGUCUGUGGGACUUACUGAUAGCUGAGCAAGAAGUGAGAAUUGCAUAAAAAUAUGGUGCUUUACUGUAGGAGAUAGCCUCUCUGCCAUAAUCAUUAAUAGUAGUACAUUAAAAACUUUAGCAGUACAGAACAAAUGACUUUAUGAACAGAAUCAUUAGAUACCUUUAAUUAAUUUAACAUAUACCAUUGCAUGCCUUUUAGUGCCC